Molecule: ribosomal RNA, 253 nt
Filed under: uncultured bacterium
Lineage: Bacteria
Description: partial 16S ribosomal RNA
Rfam family: Bacterial small subunit ribosomal RNA
Source: RNAcentral
GACGGAGGGGGCUCGCGUUGUUCGGAAUUACUGGGCGAAAAGAGCGCGUAGGCGGUUUAGUAAGUUGGAAGUGAAAGCCCGGGGCUUAACCUCGGAAUUGCUUUCAAAACUGCUAAUCUAGAGUUUAGUAGGGGAUGAUGGAAUUCCUAGUGUAGAGGUGAAAUUCUUAGAUAUUAGGAGGAACACCAGAGGCGAAGGCGGUCAUCUGGGCUAUAACUGACGCUGAUGCGCGAAAGCGUGGGGAGCAAACAGG